GAACGCUGGCGGCGUGCCUAAUACAUGCAAGUCGAACGAAUCUCUUUUAGAGAUGAGUGGCGAACGGGUGAGUAAUACAUAGGUAACCUGCCCCUGUGCGGGGGAUAACAGGAGGAAACUCCUGCUAAUACCGCAUAGCCAUGAGCACCGCAUGGAGCUCAUGCCAAAUAUCCUUUCGGGGAUAGCGCAGGGAUGGACCUAUGGCGCAUUAGCUUGUUGGCGGGGCAACGGCCCACCAAGGCAACGAUGCGUAGCCGGCCUGAGAGGGCGGACGGCCACAUUGGGACUGAGACACGGCCCAGACUCCUACGGGAGGCAGCAGUAGGGAAUUUUCGGCAAUGGGGGAAACCCUGACCGAGCAACGCCGCGUGAGCGAAGAAGGCCUUCGGGUCGUAAAGCUCUGUUGUAAAGGAAGAACGGCGCAUACAGGAAAUGGUAUGCGAGUGACGGUACUUUACCAGAAAGCCACGGCUAACUACGUGCCAGCAGCCGCGGUAAUACGUAGGUGGCGAGCGUUAUCCGGAAUCAUUGGGCGUAAAGAGGGAGCAGGCGGCCGCAAGGGUCUGUGGUGAAAGACCGAAGCUAAACUUCGGUAAGCCAUGGAAACCGGGCGGCUAGAGUGCGGAAGAGGAUCGUGGAAUUCCAUGUGUAGCGGUGAAAUGCGUAGAUAUAUGGAGGAACACCAGUGGCGAAGGCGACGGUCUGGGCCGCAACUGACGCUCAUUCCCGAAAGCGUGGGGAGCAAAUAGGAUUAGAUACCCUAGUAGUCCACGCCGUAAACGAUGGUCACUAAGUGUCGGGGGUCAAACCCCGGUGCUGCAGUCAACGCAAUAAGUGACCCGCCUGAGUAGUACGUUCGCAAGAAUGAAACUCAAAGGAAUUGAC
RNAcentral lists this ribosomal RNA (885 nucleotides) under uncultured bacterium. Its description in RNAcentral is "bacterial SSU rRNA". It matches the Rfam family "Bacterial small subunit ribosomal RNA", at positions 31 to 914 of the family's 1533-position model. The record is from RNAcentral.